Molecule: RNase P RNA, 383 nt
Filed under: bovine gut metagenome
Description: Bacterial RNase P class A
Rfam family: Bacterial RNase P class A
About the family: Ribonuclease P (RNase P) is a ubiquitous endoribonuclease, found in archaea, bacteria and eukarya as well as chloroplasts and mitochondria.
Source: RNAcentral
AGAGCGGAUGAUCGCGGCUGCAGGUCCCGCAAGGGCGCAGGUGAGGAAAGUCCGGGCUUCGCAGGGCAGGAUGCCGGAUAACGUCCGGUGGAGGUGACUCUAAGGAAAGUGCAGCAGAAAGCAAACCGCCGGGGGCCUUCGGGCCUCCGGUAAGGGUGAAACGGCAGUGUAAGAGACUACCGCCGCUGUGGUAACACGGCGGGCAUUGUAAACCCCAUCCGAAGCAAGACCAAACACCGCCUUCGGGCGGAGGGAAAGCCAUGGGCCGGCCCGGUCCGCUUUUCGGUAGGUCGCUUGAGGGCGUCGGCGACGGCGCUCCUGGAUAGAUGAUCAUCCUUCGGGGCUUCGCCCCGUUGACAGAACCCGGCUUACAGCUCUGCUUA